GAUGAAGAACGCAGUGAAAUGCGAUAAGUAAUGUGAAUUGCAGAAUUCAGUGAAUCAUCGAAUCUUUGAACGCACAUUGCGCCCGCCAGUAUUCUGGCGGGCAUGCCUGUUCGAGCGUCAUUACAACCCUCAGGCCCCCGGGCCUGGCGUUGGGGAUCGGCGGAAGCCCCCUGCGGGCACAACGCCGUCCCCCAAAUACAGUGGCGGUCCCGCCGCAGCUUCCAUUGCGUAGUAGCUAACACCUCGCAACUGGAGAGCGGCGCGGCCACGCCGUAAAACACCCAACUUCUGAAUGUUGACCUCGAAUCAGGUAGGAAUACCCGCUGAACUUAAGCAUAUCAAAGCGAGGA
RNAcentral lists this unclassified non-coding RNA (350 nucleotides) under soil metagenome. Its description in RNAcentral is "partial contains 5.8S ribosomal RNA, internal transcribed spacer 2, and large subunit ribosomal RNA". The stretch from base 1 to 120 matches the Rfam family "5.8S ribosomal RNA", at positions 35 to 154 of the family's 154-position model. The record is from RNAcentral.